ACUGGGACUUCUGGGAAUUGAAGUCCAAAACAAGAUCUGCAGGCGCAAAGGUUGAGAACCACUGUAGCUCAAGACCUUGGAAGACCGGGGAGACCCCAAACUUUGGGCCUCACAAGCGUUUCGGAGCCCCAGGCAGCUUGUAUGCUGCACCCUGCCUCGAGAAAAGGGAAAUAAAAAUCAUCAUUUGUCCAAGAGUGGUAGUGCCACCCUUAGCAAACUACAAAUCCCAGAAUUCCAUAGGAUGGAACUUUGGUGGCAGGGAAAGCUGGGUCAAGCUGUUAUUUCCACAGGCAACAUCCAUCCUCCUGUCUUUGUCUUCCAAGCUGUACUUGCCACCUCAUCUCCAUACCCACAAGGCCUGGAAUUUCAACUGACAUUUUCACAGGCAACUGGCUUAUAUAGGUCUGUCUCUGGAUUUUCCACUCCAAAACAUGGCAUCUGAGGAAGUGGGCUCAAGUCUAAGAAAGCUCACACUACUAGCUUUUCUUUUGGUUAAUCUGAAAGGUGCUACAAAAUCACUUUUGCUUGCUGAUUUUCCAGACUUUUAUGGCUAUAUCUUUGGAUAUUUGCAUUGUUGUUUUAAGUAUUAUACUUAGGCUUGUUUUUGUUAAAAGUAGGCAUAGAAAUGCAUUAACUUUAGGACCUUUGCUCAUGUAUUGAAGAGAGCCAGCGUGGUGUGGUUUGAGGAUUGGGCUGACUUGAGACCAGGGUUCGAAUCCCCAUUUGCCCCAUGGAAAGCCAUGGACUACAAUUCCCACCAGUACUAGCUAGUAUCUCCAGGGCUGAGGAAUGACAGGAGUUAACAAUCCAGUGACUUCUGUUGGGGCUUGCCCACGCUUGUUCCAAAGAAAACAUGGUAGCAAAUGUAGUCAGUGCUAUCCCUUUCUUAUUAAGGGGUCACGACUGCUCCAUUGUUAACAUCUUGCCAAAACUAAAUUUUGAGCUUGGCCUGACUAGUCUGCUGAGGGCCCACCAGUGGGAGUAAUAUAUUGUGGGAGGACAUGGAAGAGGAUCCUGUUUGCUGUGCCACUCCACUGGCAAAUUGUUUCAAACUGUUUUGGUUUUAUUUGUAUGUCCCCUGAGAUCCUAUGAAAAUAGGGCUUGAUACAAAUAUUUUAAUGAAUAAAAUUAAAAUGUCCUUUUUAAAAAA
Sceloporus undulatus (fence lizard) is the source of this 1150-nucleotide long non-coding RNA. RefSeq lists it as uncharacterized. Lineage: Eukaryota; Metazoa; Chordata; Lepidosauria; Squamata; Phrynosomatidae. The transcript is spliced from 3 exons. The record is from RefSeq and is a predicted model, not a curated record.